UAAUAGCGUAUAUUAAAGUUGUUGCAGUUAAAAAGCUCGUAGUCGGAUCUUGGGGUCGGAGUGGCUGUCGGCCUAGUGUCGGACGGUCAAGUCGGCUCUUUCUUUCUGUUGCCUGCGUCACCUUUAACUAGGGGGCGUGAUUGGUGCAGAUCGUUUACUUUGAAAAAAUUAGAGUGUUCAAAGCAGGCUUUCGCUUGAAUACAUUAGCAUGGAAUAAUGGAAUAGGACUGCGGUUCUAUUUUGUUGGUUUCUAGGACCGAAGUAAUGAUUAAUAGGGAUAGUUGGGGCCGUUUAUAUUCCGUUGUCAGAGGUGAAAUUCUUGGAUUUACGGAAGAUAAACUUCUGCGAAAGCAUUCGGCAAGGAUGUUUNCAUUGA
Molecule: ribosomal RNA, 376 nt
Filed under: uncultured eukaryote
Lineage: Eukaryota
Description: partial 18S ribosomal RNA
Rfam family: Eukaryotic small subunit ribosomal RNA
Source: RNAcentral